GAUAAGCGUACAAUAAAGUUCAAUAAUACAGUUUAAAACAAUUUUUUUAUUUAUAAAUGUUGUAUGAGAAAAUAAACUUUAUUUUUGUGAGUAAUUAAAAUAAAACUUUUAUUCUCGCUUAAUUCAUUUCAACAUUCUUAUAGAGUUUUAAAAAAGUAAAAUAAUCAAUUGGGUUUUAUUCGACUUGGGUAUCUUAUUAUUUUUUAAAAAUAAAUUAGUUGAAACGGCUUUUCUAAGAACAAUAUAUUUUAUGUCAUUUCAGAUAAAGAAGUUUAUUCGGAUUUCAAAAGAGAUCUGGUCUAGAUUUCGCAGAAAAACUUUACGAAAUGGAACUUUACGGGCCAAGGACUAUAAUUGAUCUUAAUUGAUGAGUCAACUCAUUAUACCACUGAAUCCCCUCCGUGUCGUUUAUGACGGCCUAGGUUCUCCUCUUUGCGCCAAGGUCGCUAUAAAUUUUUAAGGAAACACUCCCAAGGAAACUAAACCCAUGCAUUACCGUCAUAACAAGCUGUCAGAUAAUAACGAGUCUUAUGAAUAAAGUGGAGCAACGAGCUUCUUCUUCGCAGUUCCGCUUCGAUAAAUAGAGACGAAAAACGCGAGAACCUUAGAGUGAUUGUUUGUGUUUCAAAUUAAAACUUCUGCGCGGGUCGCAAAAAUACUGUGGAGAGAUUCUUACUGGAUCAAAAUGUGCAACAAGUUAAAUCACCGACAAUAUUCGAACUUCAUUCUCAAAUAUUGAAAAGGAAAUAACUGUCUACGCAUUCGGUUCUUUUGAACUAUCGCGACUCUAUCCGGGUUGCAAAAGCGACGGGUGAGGAAUUGCUGACGAUGAAAGGACGAGAAUCAACAAGGAAGAAUGGAAACGGAGAGAGAAAAGCCCCUGGGUUAAAAAAAAAAUAGAUAAAAAAUUUAUACGGCACACGGAAUAGUGAGAAAUGCGAAAAAGAAAAAAAGGUGAUGUUGCGAAAAAUACGAGAAAGGAUCACUAUCCUGUAGCGGACAAUACACGAAUAAUUAAUAAAGGAACUAGCAGAAAAUCGAUAGUGGAAAGUUGCAAGGAAAUUGAAAACAAUUUAGUACCAAGUAGAUUUAUGAAGUUCUUAAAUGAUUUAUUAUUUGGACAAUUAGUCGUAACGAGAUUCAAAAGAAAAACAGAACAUACCAUUUGUGUAUGAAGAAACUCUUACUUCUAUCCCUUCGUACACACCUAAUUUUUUGGCACUUUUUCUACAAACAAUUGGAUUGCAAUACUCCUGAUUUAAUUUUUAUUAUUUUCAGAAGUAUAAAAAAAUUCUUUAAUGAUUCUUAUAUACCUUACUACGUCUAGAUCUAGAAAUUAUUUUUGAUUGUUUAACCUGAAGCAGUCACUUCAACGUUAGAAAAAUGAAACUUAUAUUACAGCAAAUUUUUUUUAUUGAUCUAAGAUCUAUAUCUUUCAUUUGAAGAUUUUGAGACCCAAUUUAUACACAAUAGAAAUACGUUAUAACUCAUAUUUCCUUGAAGCCGAUCUAUUAAAAUUAGUUGGAUGUAGAAACCAUUCCACAUUAUCGUUUUUAUUAUUAAUUCAAUGUAGUAUAAUAAAAGUUUAUAUUAGAAAUUCGAAACAAUAACAUGAAUUUUAAAAAGAGAUUUUUGAGUUGAAACAGUAUUGUAAGCUAUUAAUCUUUACGUUUACACAACACAAAAUGUUUAUACUAUGUUCUAGCUUUUUAUAAGAUGUAUGCCAAGUUAAUAACUGUUUCUUCUUAAUAUAUGUUACUCUAACCCAUUCAUUUUGAAGUAAUGAAUCUAUGUAACUUCGUAUUAAAUUUGUAACGUUCUUAAUUUAAUAGGUGUAUGCCAAAUAUAUAUUUGCAUAAAUA
Long non-coding RNA from Solenopsis invicta (red fire ant), 1862 nucleotides. RefSeq lists it as uncharacterized. NCBI's taxonomy places the organism in Eukaryota, Metazoa, Arthropoda, Insecta, Hymenoptera, Formicidae. The record is from RefSeq and is a predicted model, not a curated record. The transcript is spliced from 3 exons.